UCUUCCAAAAAGCGUUAAAGCUUGACACCCAAUUAUACCUCUAAUUUCUAAAACACCUCUCAACCCUUCACUACUACUGAAUUAUUUUAUACUUUUAUAAAAGAUAUAAUGCUAGAACUAGUAACAAGAAACUGUUUUUCUCCAAAAUGUAAACAUAAACCAAAAUGGACCCACCAUUGGAAAUUAACGUAAAUGAUAAAAUCAUAAUAACCCCAAACUAGAAUAACCUAUGACUUAUAACGUUAACCUUACACAAGAACAUUAAAGGAAAGAUUAAAAGAAAAAGAAGGAACUCGGCAAACCUAAGCCCCGCCUGUUUACCAAAAACAUCGCCUCUUGUCUAAACAUAAGAGGUCCAGCCUGCCCAGUGACAAAAAUUUAACGGCCGCGGUACCCUAACCGUGCGAAGGUAGCAUAAUCACUUGUUCUUUAAAUAGGGACUUGUAUCAACGGCAUCACGAGGGCUUUACUGUCUCCUUUCUCUAAUCAGUGAAACUGAUCUUCCCGUGAAGAAGCGGGGAUAAAUCUAUUAGACGAGAAGACCCCAUGGAGCUUUAAACUUAUUAUACACCUCUAAUUACCUAAAUCACUAUAAUUUAAGAUGUUUGUAUAUUAGCUUUAGGCUGGGGAGACCGCGGAGUAAAAAAUAACCUCCAUAACAAAAAGGCUUCGCCUUUAUCUAAAAACUACAAAUUUAAGAAUCAGCAAACUGAUGUUAAAUGACCCAAAUAUUUGAUCAAUGAACCAAGUUACCCUGGGGAUAACAGCGCAAUCUACUUUGAGAGCUCAUAUCGACAAGCAGGUUUACGACCUCGAUGUUGGAUCAGGGUAUCCUAGUGGUGCAACCGCUACUAAAGGUUCGUUUGUUCAACGAUUAAAAC
RNAcentral lists this ribosomal RNA (881 nucleotides) under Huia sp. N6468. RNAcentral describes it as "partial 16S rRNA". It matches the Rfam family "Bacterial large subunit ribosomal RNA", at positions 1475 to 2594 of the family's 2925-position model. The record is from RNAcentral. Lineage: Eukaryota; Metazoa; Chordata; Amphibia; Anura; Ranidae.